This is a non-coding RNA of Cucumis melo (muskmelon), 79 nucleotides long. The record is from Rfam. NCBI's taxonomy places the organism in Eukaryota, Viridiplantae, Streptophyta, Magnoliopsida, Cucurbitales, Cucurbitaceae.
AAAAGCUGUAUGCUUUGAAAGAAGCUUGUACAAUUUGGGAAGGGAUUUUGAUUGAAAAAAAAGAAGAAUCUACUUCAAC